GACGAACGCUGGCGGCGUGCUUAACACAUGCAAGUCGAACGGAAAGGCCCUGCUUUUGUGGGGUGCUCGAGUGGCGAACGGGUGAGUAACACGUGAGUAACCUGCCCUUGACUUUGGGAUAACUUCAGGAAACUGGGGCUAAUACCGGAUAGGAGCUCCUGCUGCAUGGUGGGGGUUGGAAAGUUUCGGCGGUUGGGGAUGGACUCGCGGCUUAUCAGCUUGUUGGUGGGGUAGUGGCUUACCAAGGCUUUGACGGGUAGCCGGCCUGAGAGGGUGGCCGGCUACAUUGGGACUGAGAUACGGCCCAGACUCCUACGGGAGGCAGCAGUGGGGAAUAUUGCACAAUGGGCGGAAGCCUGAUGCAGCAACGCCGCGUGCGGGAUGACGGCCUUCGGGUUGUAAACCGCUUUCGCCUGUGACGAAGCGUGAGUGACGGUAAUGGGUAAAGAAGCACCGGCUAACUACGUG
RNAcentral lists this ribosomal RNA (468 nucleotides) under uncultured bacterium. Its description in RNAcentral is "partial 16S ribosomal RNA". It matches the Rfam family "Bacterial small subunit ribosomal RNA", at positions 28 to 507 of the family's 1533-position model. The record is from RNAcentral.